GGAUUUAGCUCAGCGGUAGAGCGCUUGCCUAGCAAGCACAAGGCCCUGGGUUCGGUCCCCAGCUCCA
RNAcentral lists this transfer RNA (67 nucleotides) under Rattus norvegicus (Norway rat). It matches the Rfam family "tRNA". From Rfam's summary of the family: Transfer RNA (tRNA) molecules are approximately 80 nucleotides in length. Their secondary structure includes four short double-helical elements and three loops (D, anti-codon, and T loops). Further hydrogen bonds mediate the characteristic L-shaped molecular structure. tRNAs have two regions of fundamental functional importance: the anti-codon, which is responsible for specific mRNA codon recognition, and the 3' end, to which the tRNAs corresponding amino acid is attached (by aminoacyl-tRNA synthetases). tRNAs cope with the degeneracy of the genetic code in two manners: having more than one tRNA (with a specific anti-codon) for a particular amino acid; and 'wobble' base-pairing, i.e. permitting non-standard base-pairing at the 3rd anti-codon position. Lineage: Eukaryota; Metazoa; Chordata; Mammalia; Rodentia; Muridae. The record is from Rfam by way of RNAcentral.